This 784-nucleotide ribosomal RNA is filed under the name uncultured fungus. Its description in RNAcentral is "SSU rRNA". It matches the Rfam family "Eukaryotic small subunit ribosomal RNA", at positions 564 to 1355 of the family's 1831-position model. The record is from RNAcentral. Lineage: Eukaryota; Fungi.
GUGCCAGCAGCCGCGGUAAUUCCAGCUCCAAUAGCGUAUAUUAAAGUUGUUGUGGUUAAAAAGCUCGUAGUUGAACCUUGGGCCUGGCUGGCCGGUCCGCCUCACCGCGUGCACUGGUCCGGCCGGGCCUUUCCCUCUGUGGAACCCCAUACCCUUCACUGGGCGUGGCGGGGAAACAGGACAUUUACUUUGAAAAAAUUAGAGUGCUCCAGGCAGGCCUAUGCUCGAAUACAUUAGCAUGGAAUAAUAAAAUAGGACGCGCGGUUCUAUUUUGUUGGUUUAUAGGACCGCCGUAAUGAUUAAUAGGGACAGUCGGGGGCAUCAGUAUUCAACUGUCAGAGGUGAAAUUCUUGGAUCAGUUGAAGACUAACUACUGCGAAAGCAUUUGCCAAGGAUGUUUUCAUUAAUCAGGAACGAAAGUUAGGGGAUCGAAGACGAUCAGAUACCGUCGUAGUCUUAACCAUAAACUAUGCCGACUAGGGAUCGGACGGUGUUAUUCAUGACCCGUUCGGCACCUUACGAGAAAUCAAAGUGCUUGGGCUCCAGGGGGAGUAUGGUCGCAAGGCUGAAACUUAAGGAAAUUGACGGAAGGGCACCACCAGGGGUGGAAGCCUGCGGCUUAAUUUGACUCAACACGGGGAAACUCACCAGGUCCAGACACAAUAAGGAUUGACAGAUUGAGAGCUCUUUCUUGAUUUGUGGGUGGUGGUGCAUGGCCGUCUAAGUUGGUGGGGUGACUUGUCUGCUUAAUUGCGAUAACGAACGAAGACCUUAACCUGCUAAU